CACCCUGCUAUCUGUGCCCAGCUUUCAGAGAGCCUCACUUGUGGCGGUGCAGAGCUUUGGGCACCUGACCCCUGUUCACCUGCCCGCAGGUGGUUUUUCUGGGGUUCACUGGUAGUAGAGCUCAAAUCACAUAGAGUUUUGCCUCAGUGUUACCUGUUUCUUGAAAGCUCUUCGUGAUCACAGAGGUCUUUCAGCUAUUGCUGUGUUCGUUGCACAGCAAAAAAAAAAAAACCAACUUUUUUUGAGAUCUCCAUAGGUUGCCCACGGUUGAGCUAACCAUUUGUUGGCAGCACACCAUAAAGGGCGAUGGAAACGUGCAGCCACGUGCCAAACUGUGAAAACCUUGGAGAGAAAUCACUCUCACACACCACAUAAAUGUAGUUUUCUCUGCAGGAGACGUUUUUCUGAAGCAGAGUUUUGCUUUUACUGGGUUGAAAACAUAUUCUUCCAAGGUCUGUGUGUUGUUUGUGCUUUAUCAGAUACAGUUAGGCCACUCUCGCAGCUGUGAAGUUGUGAAGGCAAACUCCAGCGACCCAUUCCUUCUUCCUUCAGAAAAGCAACUCGAGGAGCAGCGGGAGGAAACCCAGCUCUAUCCUGCAGCGAGCGGGGCUGCGCAAGAGGCAGGUGCUGCUCUCACGGCCCGAAGGCAGCUCCGAGCUGCCGGGUGCGGUCACGUCAGCGGCCGAGCUGCCCGGCGGGGUGUGCAUAAGAGCGAGCUAUAUGUGCUGCGUGUCAUCACGGAGCCUUUCAAGUCCCUCCCUCCUUCUCCACUGCUGGGGCUGCAGUGGGCACCGGGCAGGAGGAGCGGCCGCAGCCCCGCGGGGGUGGGACGAGUCUCUGGGGGCUGCGAUACCACAUGAGCUGGCACAAAAAGCUGUCUGUGCUGAGGAAAACCACAGGAUGCCUUAGGAUGGAGAGCAAUGGGAAGGACUCAGGUUUGGGACCUGCCUUAAAAACUCUUGAGCAUACAGCAGCUUUCAGAGAGAGGUAUUUAUAGCCAUAUGCUUGUAAUGAAGCAGUGAAGGGGAGCACGAGCGGAGAGCCACCUCCCUGGUGGUUCAUAAGAGUUACUAGGAUUAUUAAGCUAUGAAAGCAAAUACUUGCAUGAGUUUUUUCUUAAAGAAUAAAGCAUAAUAAAUACAAUUCA
RNAcentral lists this long non-coding RNA (1147 nucleotides) under Numida meleagris (helmeted guineafowl). Its description in RNAcentral is "lncRNA (ENSNMEG00000007264.1)". Lineage: Eukaryota; Metazoa; Chordata; Aves; Galliformes; Numididae. The record is from RNAcentral.